RNAcentral lists this ribosomal RNA (276 nucleotides) under uncultured bacterium. RNAcentral's name for it is "partial 16S ribosomal RNA". It matches the Rfam family "Bacterial small subunit ribosomal RNA", at positions 338 to 631 of the family's 1533-position model. The record is from RNAcentral.
CCUACGGGGGGCAGCAGUGGGGAAUAUUGCACAAUGGGGGAAACCCUGAUGCAGCGACGCCGCGUGAGUGAAGAAGUAUUUCGGUAUGUAAAGCUCUGUCAGCAGGGAAGAAAAUGACGGUACCUGACUAAGAAGCCCCGGCUAACUACGUGCCAGCAGCCGCGGUAAUACGUAGGGGGCAAGCGUUAUCCGGAUUUACUGGGUGUAAAGGGAGCGUAGGCGGCAGGGCAAGUCGGAUGUGAAAGCCCGGGGCUCAACCCCGGUACUGCAUUUGAA